Molecule: non-coding RNA, 7894 nt
Organism: Nomia melanderi (Alkali bee)
Lineage: Eukaryota; Metazoa; Arthropoda; Insecta; Hymenoptera; Halictidae
Source: RefSeq, a predicted model, not a curated record
UUCCAGCUUUGUAUGUUUCAGAGAUAAUUGCAAAAAUUCGAGGCAGCAUGAGCGUCAGCAUGAGGCGGCUAUUUAUCUGACGUUUCAUUUGGUAUUAAAUAUUUUUCAGUCGUAUUACAUCGAUGAAAUCGAGACUCGUAGAUAUAAUGGGUGAAUUGUUUGGAACAGAAAGUACACUGAUAACACAAAUUUUCAUCAUAAUUUUUUUGUAACAAAAGUAAUACAGAUUGGUAUUGGUAUUGGUCGUGGUAGUUUCUUUGGGUGGGGGGAUCUUUUACUUCGUAAUUGUCAACAAUUCUUCUAGUCUGAAUACGGCGGUUGUUUGGCAAUAAUAAAGUACAAGUGAUAAGAAAAAACUACCCCAACCAACAGCAAUACUAAUCUUUAUUAUCUUGUCAGAGGAAAAAGUCGAUGUAAACAUCGGCUUUUACAACAUUCCGAAGCCUGUCUUCUGAACAGAAUUCAAUAACUUAAAAAGUAUAAGUAGAAGAAAAAAAUGCUUCAGACAAAAGUUGCAAGACAUAGAGCUAAACAUAUGGUGGUUAUAUUUUUUUACGUUACAAGGAUAUUAUGAAGUUUUUAAAUGACAAUGGAUACUUUGCGUUUCGAUUCCAAUGUUAUAUAAAUAGAAGAACGGAAUUUAUUUGCAUAAAAUUAUGUGAAAUCAGAGCUACAUGCUUCGGAGAAUAUUUUCCCUUGUUAAAAAUCUGUAUAAAUAUAUUUAACAAUGAAUACAAAAUAAAAGUAUAAAUACGUGGGAAACUCGGAAUGUCUGUGGGGCAAUCUUUGAGCGUACUAAACAGUGAUUUGCACUGUAGCAGAUACAGUUGCUACAGAUACAGUGAUUUGCACUGAUAGCAGGGAGUUUGUAUAGUUGCGCCGAAACGAAAUCGGACACCAAUGUUCGUUACCUCUCACUUCAUCGCACUGUGUUUCGCUUAUGUGUAUUUGUGCGCGACUCGGCCAAUAACAAGGUCGUAACAAAACUGAGGCGUCAGUGCUACCAUCACCACCGGGCCGAGCGCCGCGAGUGAACGCUUUACAGUGGUGUUUUUUGACGAAAAACUGGCCAAAAUUCAUAAUUUCAUGCGAUUUUCAUAAAAGUUGGUAUACUUAGAUUUUUAGAGUUCCUAAAUCUGACUAUUCUGUUAAAAAUGCAAAAUUUAAAAUGGCGAAUCAAACAAAUUUGUUAAGAGAAAUUUGACCUGGCACAUUAAAGGAGCUUGAAUUUUCGAGACAUUAAGAGGCUUGAAAUUUCGUAAAGGUUGACGGUCUACAUCUCAAUAGUGGGGAUAGUGGGAAUCACCAAUACGUCAUCGGCCAGUUGACGUUACAGUCGGCGGCGCCGACAGAUAAUAUAACGGUAAGAAUUGCGUGUCGUCGUGCAACGGACUUCACGGAACUAAGAUCGAAUUGGAGUUGCAGGAAAAGAUACAGGAAAAAGUUACUUAGAAUUGCGUUCCCUACAACAUACCCAAAAAUCAAAAAUUGAUGAAUCUCAUUGCGCAAUGCCUGAUAAUUGUAGCGAUGUCUACCUCCUUGGAGGCAUUCAAAUUGCCAAUUGCUGUCUCGAGUAAGCUCGUGAAAGAUCUCCAGAAUAUCAUCGACUUAAUCCCUAUGGAUAAAUUCCUCCGACUGGUCAGGGCAUACACCAUUAAAGACCGGGAGUUCCAAACCAGCAUGUAUAUUUUGAGCAUGAGAGAUGUAGGAUCGCUUCUUUCGAACGACGUGCAGGAACCACAAGAGGCGGCCGAAUUGCUUAAUUUACCGGAAGAGAUCAUCCUCGAUAUCUACUAUUUAGUAGAUACUAUAAAUAUGUACGUCAACUUUGUGUAUGCUCAAGAACCCACUGAAUCGGAACUCCAAAUUACCGGUGGACUGGCUGGUUUCGAAAAAGACCUCGCAGCUCUGUUUCCUUCAGAGAAAAUAAACGCUCUGAUAGGGAAAGAGCAGAUGGCCUGUAACACCUUGAACGACUACUAUAACACUACGAACGGGCAGUCCGACAAAUCCAACUUAAUCACACACAUAGGAAAUCACUUCAGUGCUUCGGCCAGAACGGCCGAAAAGCAUGGUCUCGACGGCAGGUUAUUCGAGCAACUUCUCCCGGUGCUUUUCUUAAUCAGAACUUUUGCUAUUUAACAAAUGUUUUUAUCCUUGUUUUCUAAUAAAUAUAUGUAUGAUACAAUUGUGUGGAGGAUUAAUAACAAGAAGUCGCGUAUUUAACAAAAUGUAGAGAAUAGUUUAGUAAGUUAUGUGCAUAGUUUAUUGUACACAGUUUACUAGAGUAUAUCGUACAUAGUUUACUAGAUCAGACUAGAACAGGCUUUCGCGUAGCACUCUCUACCCGCCUUCUUUCAGACUGCCAUCAGUCUACCUUUAACCUUUUGCGUUCCUAUGUCGAACAUGACUCAACAGUAGAUUUAUUCGAAAGUGUGACAUUUUUUAAUUGUAUUAAGUUGUUAUACUAUUUUUAUAGUAUUGGUAAAAAGAAUUAUUUACAUUUCUUGCUAUUAACUAAUUGUCUUUCUAAAUACAUUUCAAGUAAAACACUGAAAGUAAUAAGAAUUAUGGAAGAGUAAAUGUGAAAGGAACUCGGAGUGCAAAGGGUUAAGGGCCCCACAUAUGCUGAAACAUGUGGCGAGGCAAGCGGCGAUUCCUAGGUUUCACAAUGCAAAUUGAGACAUACAGAGUGCAACUAAAUUGUUGCGCACAAAUGAUAGGGCGCGUACAACUUACGAAACUGAAUAAAAAAACCUCAGUGAACAUGGGUCCAAACUUAAAUAGUUUCCGAGAUAAAAAUAGGUUUAAUUUAAAAAGUAAUGUAUGAGGACCGAAUCAAGAACACCGAAUUAUCUCCAAAGUAUCAGUGAUACAAACAAAUGAAGGGGACAUUUCUAUAUUCUUACGCCCCGCACCAUCCCUCUCGAAGGAUGCAAAUCCACUGUUCGCACCACCGAAAGGGUGCCAUAAAAAGUAUACGUGGGAGACAGCGACCAGGCCUGGCGUUUUGGAGACAACGCAUGGGUUUUCCCCGGAGCUGAUGAAGGAAUAACGGAAUCGGCCUGCUGAGAGGAACCGGCCAAUUUCCCAAAGAACGACGUCAUUCUAACUACAGUUCUCGCUCUCGAUUGUGAGGUGACUUUGUAAUGUCCUGUAAAGGUCACGCCACAAUUCUUAAAUAAAACCCCAUAUGUUAUUAUUAAUAUUUUUAUUUAUAUUUAAAAUAUUCCCAUAUUUUUAAUUUAUAACAGAAGCCGAAAUUCAGACGUGUAAGGAAAUUUUACGUGCGUGACAAUGCCAUCAAAUGAAACGCAUGUAGCCUGUGUGGGCGAUGCUGAUGUAACCUGAUCCCGAAGAAUCAAGUCAACAUCCGGUCAACGGAAAAGUGCGUCGCAGCACUUGAAGGUGAUAUGGAUGCCGCCACUUCGAGUGUUACGGUAUUUUCCCCGUGAAUUACUUUACUUCGAAACUAGUACGGGCCGUAGCUAGUGUAAAAGAGGGAGAAAGAAAUUGACACGUUUUUUCUUAGCGUGGCGGAAUGCAACUACUGUAUUCUUAUACUGUUUUACAAAUGUUGGUAGCUGUGUCACACUAUGUAUGAGUUAGAAGCGCGUAACAUGUGUCGACAUUGGAUUGAGGAUCACAUUUAUUAAGAGCCCUAAUUUUGAAUCAAACAGUCGCACGUUCCACACCUUUUGACAGACAUUUCCAACGUAGUCUUUAAGUAUAAUCCUGAAUUCGCGUCUUUUGUAUACAGAUAUAUUCUAUCCAGUAGUUUUAGCUCAUUCGUUUUUAUUACAGACAUUUCCAAAUUAAAGACAUGAAAUUUUUCGCGUUAAUCGUUGUCAAGAUAUCAGCAUCCAAAGUUGUUGGUUUAUUGGUAGUGAUGGUGGCCGACGGACAUGGGAGAGUAAAGGAACGCAAUAUCCACGAUCCUUGUUUGUUGCAUGAUGGGUUUCCGUUUGAAAAUGUGAAUGACAUCAUUUAUCGAUCGAAACGUGGACUCACAGUUGAGAACGCAGUCAUCGCACCUGCUACCUUCCUUUACUCUCUCAUGCAUGACAGCAUUCCCUUGCCCCUCUGUCCACAAGUUGGAAGUUAGACUGUUCGUGGAUCACUAAUGUUACUGACGAACCGGCAACUUUGGAUCCUGAUAUUUUGAUUACGGCUUACAAGAAAAAUUUCAUGUCUAUGGUUCGGAAACGUUUGAAUGUCGGCUUCAAAAAUAUGGAAUACAAAAUAUGGGGUUCUAUUUAAGAAUUGUGGCGCGACCUUUGAAGGACGCUUCAAGGUCACGCCAUUGUCAAAUACCUCCUAUCGUGACAUGCAGUAUAUCGUAGCCUAUAACUUUUGUUUCACGCAUUUGUUCGUAUCACUGAUACUUUUCGAAAUGAUUCAGCGUUCUUGAUUCUACAUCUUGUAUAUAAUUUAUAUUUGAACUGUAAUAACAACAACUUCACAGAAUAUUUUCAACGUUUAGAGGAGGCUGUAAUGAACGACGUGGGCAGUGAGGCUCAUAAUGUAUCCAAAUUCGAUAUCUGCUAAUGCGAUACCAGCUUUCUCAGUUGCCGAACGCAGGUUCUUCAGGUGAUUGCUCUCGGCAAUUCUUUUGUAUGCUGGCAUAUACUUCCUUGAGAAUAUUUCAUUUGAAACCUCCAUUAAUAACCGGGAGUUAUCCCAUUUCUCUGCGGCCAGCGUCUGUAACUUCUCUUCUGGCAAUACCUCGAGUAGAUCAUCCUGAAGGCCACUAAUACCACCGCUGAUUUCGCGAUAGGUGGAGGAAGGUGUGAAGGCGUUCAUCUUCAGCGAUCUAUUCAGUUUGUUUAUGCAAAGAUGGAUGUCGAGACCAGCUCUCUGUAUAUAGCUUGCCAGCUGCCACAUCUCGGGCAUAUCUUCAAUUUCCUUGAUGAAUGCCACUGAAUCAGCUGAUAAUGCGAUCCUCAUCAUAGCCUGGACUUCUUCGUCUUGGGAAAGGUAUGUUUUAACGAUUUCAACAACGUCUGACAUAGGGACCAAAUCCAGGAAAUCUUGCAGCUCUUUGGCGAGCUCACCUGAGCCUGAAGCUGGAAUCUUGUAGGGGUUCACGGAGCUGGCAACUGCCAGGACUGUUAAAGUUACCAAUGCGAAUUUCAUCUGCGAAAGAAACAACAAACAUUUGUUGAACAAUAUGUAGAAUUUAUAGUUACGGUAAAAGUUAUUCUUACAAAGAAACCUUUCCAUCUAGCACACGCCGAUUGUAAUGAAACUCAUGUGAGAAAUAAUUCUCAAGAAAGUAUUUGACACGUAUUUUUUCUUAUCGGUCAACAUCCACUUUGACGAGUGAAACCAUCCCUUAAAGUUGAGGGUUGAAAGUAUAUUUUUUACAAUAUCUCUGAAACUAGGCAGUACAGAAAAAAAUUUCCUUUUUAAAAUGUUCGCCUCAACAUGAACAAUUUUUAGAUUUAUUUUCUGCGCUCCUAGUUUCAGGAAUAUUGUAAAAAAUAUAUUUUCUACCGUCAAUUCUAAUAGUUGUUUUACUCGUUCACAAUGAAUGUUGGCUGGUAAGAAAAAAUACGUGUCAAAUAUUUUCUUGAGAACUAUGUUUCGUAUAAGUUUCAACAAAAUCGGCGUGUGCUGGAUGGAAACGUUCUUUUAUAAGUUGGAUUGGAAACCGAGUGGAUGACUGCGUGUAUGGACCAGGGUAUGUCGCCAAAGUUAUGCAUGGGACUUGGGGGUGAUCGAGGAAGUGAGCGAGAGAGUGAGAGGAAGGGAUAGAACGAGUCAGGUAAACUGCAGGUCUGACGAGUGGCAGGCUACUGCUGGCGAUCAAGUCCAAGCGGCAAGACGACUCUUCCACUUGUGACGCAUUGAAAAUUUUCCGGACAAGUUCCACGUUCAGCCUAUGACGCAACCAUAGACCAUAGAUAAAGGUUACUCCCCAAAAGUAGUAUAUAAGGAACCCGAAUUUGUAACAUAGGCAGUCAUAUACCAAAUCUGUGCAUGAAUAAAUCGAAGUUCAACGAAACUAAUUUCUACAUCUUUUUUUCUGCGAAAUAAGUGUGAAAUAGUAAACCAAGAAGUUUUAAACUCUAGUUCGCUUAUACGUGACACACUCACGAUGUUCGGGUCGGCUUGGUCUUUGAUAGCGUCAUCGAUAUUAGCCGCGUCGCAGUACCAAAGGGCAAAAGCGAGACGGCAAGCAAUGGAGUUAGAUGUAACGAUAAAAAGAAAAAUUCUAGUGCCGUCAGCUUCGUUUUCUAUCGUUACAUCUCACUUCGUCGCAUUCAGUGCCGCUUUUGUUCUUUGUUACUGUGACGCAGCCAAUACCGACCAAAGAUGACCCGUUGAAGAUUGAGGCGGCCUGAACAUCGUGGUUGGAAGAGUCUUGACGUUCAGACUUGACCGCUCGCGGGUAGCCUGCCAUUUCAUUAGAGCCGUGCUUUAUUAUAUAAGGGUGACAACCUCUGGGCUUGAACGUUCUUGAGGCAAACUGGCUCCAAAUUUUCAAAAACUUCCAAAAAUGGUGGAAUCAAUGAAUGCACAAAGUUACCAAGGGCACAGUGGAAAAAACACAACACCACACCACACCAUAGACAGCAAGGACACUAAACCACACUUCAAAGUGAGAGGCAAAACCUCCAAAUACACACAAGGAAAAAUCUCAAAUCACCGCGAACUCUCAAAUCUAAUCAAAGAAAGAAAUAGAGCAAAAAGAAAUCGUCAAAAAAUAGCAAAUUCCUAUUGCAAAUUAUUAAAAAACAUUCUCACCCAUAAAAUCAGAAAUAGAAUCCAUUUCCUAAAAAAUAGGGGAUGAGAGGAAAAACUAAAAUUCCUAAAAUACAAAGACAACUCCUGCAAAACACACAAAAUGUUUAAACCUUCUAAAUAAAAAAUCUUUAACCUACAAGAUUCACAGAGCAGAAUCCAUAUAUCUGAUGAGAAAAGAGCAAACGUACUAGCCAACUACUUUGCCAAUAUCCACAACAGUACCUCUACCUCACCAUCACUGCACGAAACACAAACAAUCCAGCAUACAACUCACCUAAACAAUGCAACCCCAGAAACCCUAACAAUUAUCAUAUCUCUCGACCAAAUAAAAAACUCUUUAAGGAAAUUGGCCACUGGCCCAGAUAAACUAUCAGCCAUCAAACUCAAAAAUCUACCAAAUAAACUCAUCUGCCAAAUCUGCUACAUAUUUAGAGCCUCUUUAAAACUAUCUUACUUUCCCGACUUUUGGAAAAUCGCCAAAAUAUUUCCAAUCAACAAAACCCUGAAAAAACGGAAAAUCACCAGUUACAGAUCCAUCGGUUUUUUUAGUUUUCUAGGCAAAAGCCUAGAAAACCUUAUCCUCCAGGAAAUAACUAAAUAUCUAAAAGCAAAUAACACAAUCAUAAACGAACAAUUCGGAUUUAGACUCGAACACUCCUUCAUAAAUCAGGUUAUGAGAAUAACAGAUCUCAUUGCAGCAGAAUACAACAAAAAUAGAACUUCUGUUAUGGUCCUCUUGCAUCUGGAAAAAGCUUUUGACACAGUAUGGCACGACACUCUACUCCUGAAACUAAAAAAUAUACACCCUUCACAACUUGCAAAGAAUUCUCAAAAGUUACCUAGACAAUAGACACAUCAUAGUGUCAAUAAAAGGCACCUUAUCUUCCACAUUAUUAACCAUUUGCACAACAAUAACAAUAGUAUUUGCAACUUACAUGAAGAAACAUCUUGCACAAAUUAUGAGGCAGAAUUAUUCCAUUUCUGUUAACUUAACAAAUAACAAAUACUUCAGCACACAUCACCACCACAAAGGUGGUGAUAAACCCAGGAACCGGAAACCUCAUAAAAGGAAAACAAACAAGGAAAAAAAACGGGAGAAUUUCUUGAAAGUCAAUGAGAGAACGAGCAUUAUGUUUUAGCGAGU